Molecule: ribosomal RNA, 123 nt
Filed under: Clostridioides difficile
Lineage: Bacteria; Bacillati; Bacillota; Clostridia; Peptostreptococcales; Peptostreptococcaceae
Also listed under: 1 other name
Description: partial 23S ribosomal RNA
Rfam family: Bacterial large subunit ribosomal RNA
Source: RNAcentral
UCAAGAUAAGAUUUCCCACCGCAAGGGUAAGACCCCAGAAAGACUAUCUGGUUGAUAGGUCGAAGGUGUAAGUGCAGCAAUGUAUUUAGCUUAUCGAUACUAAUAGGUCGAGGACUUGACCAA